RNAcentral lists this ribosomal RNA (745 nucleotides) under uncultured bacterium. Its description in RNAcentral is "bacterial SSU rRNA". It matches the Rfam family "Bacterial small subunit ribosomal RNA", at positions 9 to 749 of the family's 1533-position model. The record is from RNAcentral.
GAGUUUGAUCCUGGCUCAGGAUGAACGCUAGCGGCAGGCCUAACACAUGCAAGUCGAGGGGCAGCAUAUCGCUUCGGUGAUGAUGGCGACCGGCGCACGGGUGAGUAUCGCGUUUGUAACCUACCCUUAACUGGGGGAUAGCCCAGAGAAAUUUGGAUUAAUACCCCAUAAUAUUUAAGCACGGCAUCGUGCUUUCAUUAAAGCUUCGGCGGUUAAGGAUGGGCAUGCGUGACAUUAGUUUGUUGGUAAGGUAACGGCUUACCAAGACUACGAUGUCUAUGGGGUCUGAGAGGAUGAUCCCACACACUGGUACUGAGACACGGACCAGACUCCUACGGGAGGCAGCAGUGAGGAAUAUUGGUCAAUGGACGAAAGUCUGAACCAGCCAUGCCGCGUGCAGGAUGACGGCCCUAUGGGUUGUAAACUGCUUUUAUACAAGAAGAAAUCCUCCUACGUGUAGGGGGUUGACGGUAUUGUACGAAUAAGCAUCGGCUAACUCCGUGCCAGCAGCCGCGGUAAUACGGAGGAUGCAAGCGUUAUCCGGAUUCAUUGGGUUUAAAGGGUGCGUAGGCGGGGCAAUAAGUCAGUGGUGAAAUCCUGCAGCUUAACUGUAGAACUGCCAUUGAUACUGUUGUCCUUGAGUAUAGUUGAAGUGGGCGGAAUAUGUAAUGUAGCGGUGAAAUGCAUAGAUAUUACAUAGAACACCAAUUGCGAAGGCAGCUCACUAAGCUAUCACUGACGCUGA